CCUACGGGUGGCAGCAGUGGGGAAUAUUGCACAAUGGGCGAAAGCCUGAUGCAGCAACGCCGCGUGAGUGAAGAAGGUCUUCGGGACGUAAAGCUCUGUCCUCAAGGAAGAUAAUGACGGUACUUGAGGAGGAAGCCCCGGCUAACUACGUGCCAGCAGCCGCGGUAAUACGUAGGGGGCUAGCGUUAUCCGGAUUUACUGGGGGUAAAGGGUGCGUAGUCGGGUUGUAAAGUCAGAGGUGAAAGGCUACGGCUAAACCGCAGACAGCCUUUGAAACUGGGGAACUUGAGUGCAGGAGAGGAAAGUGGAAUUCCUGGUGUAGCGGUGAAAUGCGUAGAUAUUAGGAGGAACACCAGUUGCGAAGGCGGCUUACUGGACUGUAACUGACGCUGAGGCACGAAAGCGUGGGGAGCAAACAGGAUUAGAUACCCGAGUAGUC
RNAcentral lists this ribosomal RNA (439 nucleotides) under uncultured bacterium. RNAcentral describes it as "partial 16S ribosomal RNA". It matches the Rfam family "Bacterial small subunit ribosomal RNA", at positions 338 to 795 of the family's 1533-position model. The record is from RNAcentral.